GUGCACCAGGCGCGAAAACUUCACACUGUGCGAAAGCACGAUGAGGGAAUCCCAAGUGCUUGCACGUAAGUGUAAGCUGUUUCUCUGUCUAAAAACGCAGAGAGAGUAAGGGCUGGGGUAAGACGGGUGCCAGCCGCCGCGGUACUACCUGCAGCUCAAGUGGUGACCGUUAUUAUUGGGCCUAAAACGUCCGUAGCCGGUUUAAUAAAUGCCUGGGUAAAUCGUGGAGCCCAACUUCACGAAUUCCGGGUAGACUGCCGAGCUCGGGGACCGGAAGAGGGAGAGGGUACUUCAGGGGUAGGGGUGAAAAUUUCCUUUCCAUUAACGCUUUGCGCGAAGCGGAAAGGGUUAUCACAAUCCUGUAAUCCCUGGAGGACCACCCGUGGCGAAGGCGCUCUCCU
RNAcentral lists this ribosomal RNA (401 nucleotides) under uncultured microorganism. RNAcentral's name for it is "bacterial SSU rRNA". It matches the Rfam family "Archaeal small subunit ribosomal RNA", at positions 330 to 681 of the family's 1478-position model. The record is from RNAcentral.